UACGGGGGGGGGCAAGCGUUGUUCGGAAUUACUGGGCGUAAAGGGUUUGUAGGUGGCUUGCUAAGUCAGACGUGAAAUCCCUCAGCUUAACUGGGGAACUGCGUCUGAGACUGGUGAGCUUGAGUGCAGGAGAGGAACGCGGAAUUCCAGGUGUAGCGGUGAAAUGCGUAGAUAUCUGGAGGAACACCGGUGGCGAAGGCGGCGUUCUGGACUGCAACUGACACUGAGGAACGAAAGCCAGGGGAGCAAACGGG
This 254-nucleotide ribosomal RNA is filed under the name uncultured bacterium. Its description in RNAcentral is "partial 16S ribosomal RNA". It matches the Rfam family "Bacterial small subunit ribosomal RNA", at positions 524 to 776 of the family's 1533-position model. The record is from RNAcentral.